This 2176-nucleotide long non-coding RNA is filed under the name Orbicella faveolata. Its description in RNAcentral is "uncharacterized LOC110045103, transcript variant X1". Lineage: Eukaryota; Metazoa; Cnidaria; Anthozoa; Scleractinia; Merulinidae. The record is from RNAcentral.
GAAUAACAACAACCUUUUCCUCAACAUAUUCCUAAGUUGUAAGGAAGAAAAAAACACUGGGUUUGGGAUUUCAAAACCAUUUGACAGUCAUUAUGUUGCCGUUUCAUUGUGAGUGAAAAUAUGUGGUUGUUGUCGAACAGGGCCUGAAGCAGGAGAAACAUGUAAACCAUGAGGAACUUUAUUUUGUUGCCUGUGCAAUUAUACAUUACCCAUCCAAGGAAAGUGUCACAGAAGCAAUUCACCUUCCACCAGAACAAAAUGGCAUACAUUUAAUUUAACAGGAGUCUUUAAAUUAAAUUAUUUUUUUAUUUUUUUUGCAGGUCGAUGAUGGUUACGACAGUGACAUUUAUUUAAACAAAUUUAUGGUUUAUUACAUAACAAGUACCUUGGGUGAAACAGCACGUAUUUUGGUAAGAAAUGGAGAUAUUUAUGAAGGUGUUCUAAAAGCAGUCUCCUCAAAGACACACUGGUUCUGAGUUGAAGUCUUCCCGAAGAGAGAGGUCACUUGAGACAUUUUGCUUUCACGCUGUUUCACAGAAGGAGUUGAGAAGAGGGUAUUGUGGUGAGUAAACCAGUGCUUUCUGUCUUUCAUUGACCUUUUUAUGUUUUUCUUAAGAGAUACUUUUUCACUAUGACAUGGCUUUUGAAUUACUCAUCCAUGUGGAGGACUGAAAUGCUUUAAAAGAUGCUGUCCAGUUUUAGAUCGAUCUUGGCCCCUUCUAGGACAAACUAGAUAUCCAUAUUUGCUCUCCGUGCCUUAAGACAAUUAACAUUAUAAUUAUUGAUCCUUAAUUCAUUUGGUUGUUGCGUUAAAAAUAUGGUCGGAAAGUUAAAUGCUGAUUUUAUGGCCAAUUUAUAGUUACUUUCAGUAAGAUUUAACUUCAGAAGCAGUUCCUCAAAUGUUAUACGUUCACCUUCUUUCAAGUUAUUUAAUUUUUUAAAUAGUUUUCCAGGUGUCUUUGUGUUGUUUUAUGUUGUGUCGAGGUGUAUUAUUCUUUAAAGGAUAAAGUAUUUCAGUUGCCCUUAUGGGUGGUUUUGGGUAAUUAAAUCAAAAUUUAUUCUUUGAUUUCUUUCUACAGGUAUGAGAAGGCCUGUGAAUCUGCCUGUUAACCAGCUUUUGCAGCUCCGGGUCAUUAACUGGCAACUGACAACAAAUAAUGUUAUCAAUAAACUCUGUAACAAUAGCAUCAUCAUCAACUCCAAAUACUGGUACAUUUUCUAACUACAUAAGCAUGUGAAUGUGAGGUGAACUUGGUAUUCCUCUCUGUAGAACCAGUCAGAAGUGUUUCCUAAUGCUAGUGCUUCACCAUUUUUUCUGACAUACCUGUUUCCAUAUGUAUGUUAGUUUAUUUUGGGACAUAUUCAUGCUAUGGCACCCAGGAAAAAUUAGGGAGGGUGAGGGAAAAUAACAAUGAAAUAAAGAGACAUGAAAGGAUAAAAGUGCAGAAAGAAACACCUGAUACUCCACUUUGCAUAAGAAACUAUCCUGGCAUACAGCGAAAUGUGCAAAAGUUUGCUCCAAAGUUUAAUUGAAAUUUUGCGGCCUGUUGAGUGAUAAUUUGCUAGAACAAAAGACGACAUUUCUUCAAAUUUUUUGAUAAGUUAACGAAAAAUUGCGAGCACUAACGAUAAUUCACCAGCUUAUACACAAAAUUUUGCAAGGCACUAAAUGGCAGUUCGCCAGCAUGCGUGCAAUUUUCAUGUAACUUACACAAGAUAAAUUUGGAUUCAUGUAUUUGUUUGUAAAUUCGUGCCAGAGAACACGGUAUGCAGUCAUUGAUUGCUGUAUAAGAGGAUAACGUACAGUGUUAUCUAUGACGUAUGUUACUUGAAUCUCACAUGCCAAAAAUUUGCGAAAGUUUUUCAAGCAGGUUUGUUUUCUUGAAUUCAGUUAGAAUUUGCUUAAUUACUAUUAUGAAGACAGCGAGCUCAGUUCGUUCCACAAACAAAACAGAAACAUCUCCAGUUCUGGGUAUUAAGCUGCUAAAGCAAACAGCCACAAACAACUUGUUGUCGAGAAUAUGAUUACGUAAUAAGCGUGCGACGCUGUUAAUAUUUACUUAAAACUGACAAGAGACAAAAGAAGAGAUCUUUUUUUGUACACGUGGGAUUGAGUUGAACGAGCGAGUAAUGAAAAGUGUAUAUCGAGAGUGAUUAGUGUUGAGCUUGAUGUAAG